RNAcentral lists this ribosomal RNA (1063 nucleotides) under Acinetobacter baumannii. RNAcentral describes it as "partial 23S ribosomal RNA". It matches the Rfam family "Bacterial large subunit ribosomal RNA", at positions 872 to 1934 of the family's 2925-position model. The record is from RNAcentral. Lineage: Bacteria; Pseudomonadati; Pseudomonadota; Gammaproteobacteria; Moraxellales; Moraxellaceae.
AGGGCUAGCGUCGAUGUUAAGUCUCUUGGAGGUAGAGCACUGUUUGAUUGAGGGGUCCAUCCCGGAUUACCAAUAUCAGAUAAACUCCGAAUGCCAACGAGAUAUAAUCGGCAGUCAGACUGCGAGUGCUAAGAUCCGUAGUCGAAAGGGAAACAGCCCAGACCACCAGCUAAGGUCCCAAAGUAAUCGUUAAGUGGAAAAGGAUGUGACGUUGCUUAGACAACCAGGAUGUUGGCUCAGAAGCAGCCAUCAUUUAAAGAGUGCGUAAUAGCUCACUGGUCGAGUGACGCUGCGCCGAAAAUGUAUCGGGGCUAAACGAUUCACCGAAGCUGUGGAUGCAUACCUAGGGUAUGCGUGGUAGGAGAGCGUUCUAAUUGCGUUGAAGUCAGAUCGUAAGGACUGGUGGAGCGAUUAGAAGUGAGAAUGCCGGUAUGAGUAGCGAAAGAUGAGUGAGAAUCUCAUCCACCGAAUGACUAAGGUUUCCUGAGGAAGGCUCGUCCGCUCAGGGUUAGUCGGGACCUAAGCCGAGGCCGAUAGGCGUAGGCGAUGGACAACAGGUUGAUAUUCCUGUACCACCUCCUCACCGUUUGAGAAAUGGGGGGACGCAGUAGGAUAGGGUAAGCAGAGCGUUGGUUGUCUCUGUUCAAGCAGUAAGGCGUGUGUGUAGGCAAAUCCGCACACUAUAACGUUGAGCUGUGAUGACGAGCUCGUAUGAGCGAAGUUCCUGAUUUCACACUGCCAAGAAAAGCCUCUAUCGAGGUGAGAGGUGCCCGUACCGCAAACCGACACAGGUAGUCGAGGAGAGAAUCCUAAGGUGUGCGAGAGAACUCUCGUUAAGGAACUCGGCAAAAUGACCCCGUAACUUCGGGAGAAGGGGUGCUCUUUUGGGUGCAAGCCCGAGAGAGCAGCAGUGAAUAGGCCCAGGCGACUGUUUAGCAAAAACACAGGUCUCUGCAAAACCGUAAGGUGAAGUAUAGGGGCUGACGCCUGCCCGGUGCUGGAAGGUUAAGAGGAGUGGUUAGCGCAAGCGAAGCUGCGAAUUGAAGCCCCAGUAAACGGCGGC